GUAGGGAAUAUUGGGCAAUGGUCGGAAGACUGACCCAGCCAUGCCGCGUGCAGGAAGACGGCCCUCUGGGUUGUAAACUGCUUUUAUCUGGGAAGAAAAAGGCCAUGCGUGGCAAAUUGCCGGUACCAGAUGAAUAAGCACCGGCUAACUCCGUGCCAGCAGCCGCGGUAAUACGGAGGGUGCGAGCGUUGUCCGGAUUUAUUGGGUUUAAAGGGUGCGUAGGCGGCUGAUUAAGUCAGCGGUGAAAGACUUCGGCUUAACCGGAGCAGUGCCGUUGAUACUGGUUGGCUUGAGUGUCGGAGGGGUACAUGGAAUUGAUGGUGUAGCGGUGAAAUGCAUAGAUGCCAUCAGGAACACCGAUAGCGAAGGCAUUGUACUGGCCGACAACUGACGCUGAUGCACGAAAGUGUGGGGAUCGAACAGGAUUAGAUACCCUGGUAGUCC
RNAcentral lists this ribosomal RNA (444 nucleotides) under uncultured bacterium. Its description in RNAcentral is "bacterial SSU rRNA". It matches the Rfam family "Bacterial small subunit ribosomal RNA", at positions 354 to 796 of the family's 1533-position model. The record is from RNAcentral.